Molecule: ribosomal RNA, 301 nt
Filed under: uncultured bacterium
Lineage: Bacteria
Description: partial 16S ribosomal RNA
Rfam family: Bacterial small subunit ribosomal RNA
Source: RNAcentral
CAGCAGCCGCGGUAAGACAGAGGAUGCAAGCGUUAUCCGGAAUGAUUGGGCGUAAAGUGUCUGUAGGUGGCUUUUCAAGUCCGCCGUCAAAUCCCAGGGCUCAACCCUGGACAGGUGGUGGAAACUACCAAGCUGGAGUAUGGUAGGGGCAGAGGGAAUUUCCGGUGGAGCGGUGAAAUGCAUUGAGAUCGGAAAGAACACCAACGGCGAAAGCACUCUGCUGGGCCGACAUUGACACUGAGAGACGAAAGGUAGGGGAGCAAAUGGGAUUAGAUACCCGCGUAGUCCCUGUCUCUUAUAC